CUAGCUGUAAACAAACAUAUUAUUCAUGUACAUACAUACUUUAGUUGUAAUGUGAUUCGUGAAAAGACAAUAUGUUAUUGAGUUCCUAAGGCUCUUGUGUUGUUUAGAAAAUUUUACACUUCGUUUGCAGACGGGUUAUUUUUAUGUUUUGUCUACUGAUGGUAUUGAGAUAGAGACCGAAGACCGCCUUGUAUUGGAGAUUAUUGAAACUGUAAUGCUAAUUUCAUCAUUACAAACAGUACUGAAGAUAGAGGCUGGUGUAUUAGGAAUGAAGUAGACGAACUGGAAAACAGGGUCAUUAGGUGUAAAGAUGUACUGGUCAAAGUGGUUGGCAGGGGCUGGAUGCGAAAGGCAAGAGACUGAAGAGAAUGAGUUACUUUCGAAGAGACCUACACACAGCAUUGGAUGGACGCGGGUUGACAAAAAGAGGGUCAUCAGAAUGAUCAAGCUUCCUUUUCCUUCAGAAUGGACCUGUUACAGAUCUAAGUAGGUAAUUUUCGUGGCCGUGAACGCAGCAAGAGCGGCUAACGUUGCCGCAACUGCUACUACCGCUGCAGUGGAUCCUGUGACCUUCAAAGCCAGUCCCAUGAGAAUGGAGACCAGCAUUUGCGCUACGAACACACAACUGCUCACUACAGCCACAUCUGUGCCGAUACCGCGUUCCUGUCCGCAACCUCCACCGGAGCUAUCCCACUGCAGAAAGAGAUUUUUGUUUUUUUUAAUUCACGAAUCAUUAAAACGGUUUCAUUACUGGUGGUAGGACCUCUUGUGAGUCCGCGCGGGUAGGCACCACCACCCAACAUAUUUCUGCCGUGAAGCAGUAAUACGUUUCGGUUUGAAGGGUGGGGCAGCCGUUGUAACUGUACUUAAGACCUUAGAACUUAUAUCUCAAGAUGGGUGGCGCAUUUACGUCGUAGAUGCCUAUGAGCUCGAGUAACCACUGAACACCAGGUGGACUGUGAGCUCGUCCAACCAUCUAAGACAUUAAAAAAAAAUCUUAAUUUGACAAGCAAAAUUAUUUAUCUGAGCUUAUAUUUUUAAUUACAAUACAUUGGCUACGGUCGGAAACAGAACCCAACUCAUCCAAGAGUUAGUGUUCAACGUCGCUUGCCCAAGCGACAUAAUUGUGCUUAUGUAAACUAAGUCUCAGUUAUUUAGUAUAUAACAUAUAUUUUUUUAAUAUAACGCCUGCCCCAUCCUUCAAAACGUAUAACUGCUUCACGACUGAAAUAGACAGGGUGGUAGUACCUUUUCGUGCGUGCUCAAAAUACGCCCUACACCAGUAAUUUUUCGUAAGUCAAAUUUGAAGUCAGUAAUAAAUAUAUUAUUAUAGAAAGCUUAUUAAUGUAAAUGCCAUCUCAUCAUCAUAUUUAUGUUAACUAAUUACUGAAAAGCCCUCUGAAGGAAUUGUUAAUUGAGACAGUAAUUACAUUUUCUUCGAAGCGC
Bombyx mori (domestic silkworm) is the source of this 1446-nucleotide long non-coding RNA. RefSeq lists it as uncharacterized. NCBI's taxonomy places the organism in Eukaryota, Metazoa, Arthropoda, Insecta, Lepidoptera, Bombycidae. The record is from RefSeq and is a predicted model, not a curated record. The transcript has 3 exons.